Molecule: ribosomal RNA, 468 nt
Filed under: uncultured bacterium
Lineage: Bacteria
Description: bacterial SSU rRNA
Rfam family: Bacterial small subunit ribosomal RNA
Source: RNAcentral
GACGAACGCUGGCGGCGUGCCUGACACAUGCAAGUCGGACGGUUCUUGCACCUUCAAGCUUGCUUGCUGGUGCAGGGAUAGUGGCGGACGGGUGAGUAACGCGUGAACAUCUACCCAUUGGAGGGGGCAACCCGUCGAAAGGCGGGCGUAAUACCGCGUAAGCCGUGAGGUGAGAGGCUGCCUAUUGGUGGCCGCCGAUGGAUGGGUUCGCGUCCUAUCAGCUGGUUGGUGGGGUAACGGCCUACCAAGGCGAAGACGGGUAGCCGGUCUGAGAGGAUGGCCGGCCACACUGGAACUGAGACACGGUCCAGACUCCUACGGGAGGCAGCAGUGGGGAAUAUUGGGCAAUGGGGGUAACCCUGACCCAGCGACGCCGCGUGAGGGACGAAGGUUUUCGGAUCGUAAACCUCUGUUGUACGGAAGAAGGAUGUGACGGUACCGUACGAGAAAGCCCCGGCAAACUACGUG